Molecule: ribosomal RNA, 228 nt
Filed under: uncultured bacterium
Lineage: Bacteria
Description: partial 16S ribosomal RNA
Rfam family: Bacterial small subunit ribosomal RNA
Source: RNAcentral
CGGCGAACGGGUGAGUAACGCGUGGAUGACCUACCUUGAGGUGGGGGAUAACUCGGGGAAACUCGAGCUAAUACCGCAUAUGAUCGCGAGAUCAAAGGGGCGCAAGUCCCGCCAUGAGAGGGGUCCGCGUACGAUUAGCUAGUUAGUAGGGUAAUGGCCUACCAAGGCGACGAUCGUUAGCCGGCCUGAGAGGGUGAUCGGCCACACUGGAACUGAGACACGGUCCAG